UAAGCCUGGAUCUAAGGGCGCGCGUGCCGUACUUCUCUCCCGACUGGCGCGGGGUGACGCCGGCUGCGAAGCGUACACAGGGGGUGUGCGGGUUGUGUGAUAGAUCCUCGAAGAAGCCAUUUUGUGGCGCCGACGCCAUUGGGAGAGCGGCAGGCAACAGCGCGGGCACGGUAGGGCUUGAUGUCCGUGACUCGCCGGGGUCGAAGAGCA
Non-coding RNA from Thioalkalivibrio nitratireducens DSM 14787, 210 nucleotides. The record is from Rfam. Lineage: Bacteria; Pseudomonadati; Pseudomonadota; Gammaproteobacteria; Chromatiales; Ectothiorhodospiraceae.